Meleagris gallopavo (turkey) is the source of this 1058-nucleotide non-coding RNA. The record is from RefSeq and is a predicted model, not a curated record. NCBI's taxonomy places the organism in Eukaryota, Metazoa, Chordata, Aves, Galliformes, Phasianidae.
GCACCUCUCCUAGAUCCCAUUUAAGUGCUGACUGCCACUGAGAGAGGAUCUCUUUCUGGAGGUUACACUUUGUGGAGUUUACUGUGAGUCUACAACACUGUAAUGUCUCCUGUUUGACCUGAUGUCCGUGAUCUGCAGUGACUCUUCUAGAGCAGAUCUGCUGUUAUGUAAAGGACACCACAGGUUUCACAGAAAUUAGGCUGAUUCAUGAGCUCAACCCUCAUAAGACACCCAGGAGCACCAUGGUACAUACCGUGACUGCAGGAAAAGCUCUGGCUAUACUCACACUUUGCAGACCCAAGCAGCUCCAAACAAGCUGCAUGCCAUAGGAAGCAGCCUUCAUCACCUCACAGAGUUGCUUAUUAUGCCCUGUGCCUCACAGGAUUUACUGUCACCUGGUCUGCAUGCGAUGCAGAGCAUUGACCUGGGAGUCAUGAAUCCACAGCUUCUAUUCCUACCUCUGCCUUGGUGACAAGGUGGACUGAUUUCCAUCCAAGUGAUUUAAAUGAGCCACUGGGGAACCUUGAUUUAAAUCAUCACUGUUUGCUUUUUACAUUGGCAGGAGAGGCAGCUUUAAUGAUGUAUGGCCCUACUGCUGUGGCUGAAAUCUAAAUUCCUGGAAUAUUCCCACUAGAUAAUCGCUAAAGUUCAUGCAUUUGCCUCUGGCUAGCGAGCUGCACAGGCAGGAGCCAGCUCUUGGCAAGGCUGGGUGAUUUGGAGCUUCUGCACUUGCGUUGGCAGCCUGAGAUGGGCAGGGAGGUGUGAGGCACCUCCGGGCUUCUGCAGAACAGAGGAGAAAAAGGAUGGGGCUCAGAGAGCUGGGGAGAGCUGGCAGGGCUGUGGGAGGAGCAGUGAGCUGCAGUGGGUUCAGGCAGAAAGCAACCCAGGGCUUUUGGAUCUCCAACCUGUAUCUGGAGGUAUUCAGAGAAAAGCUCCAAGUCUGCAUGGAUGGACAAUUAAUAGAGUAAAUAUGCCAUGAACUAAAUGUGUAUUUUUUUCAUGGUAAUAAUUGACUUUUUUUUGUUAGUAAACAGAUGGUUGAUAAUCAAGCUGUCCUU